Molecule: ribosomal RNA, 1590 nt
Filed under: Bacillus cereus LCT-BC244
Lineage: Bacteria; Bacillati; Bacillota; Bacilli; Caryophanales; Bacillaceae
Description: bacterial LSU rRNA
Rfam family: Bacterial large subunit ribosomal RNA
Source: RNAcentral
UGGCGUGCCUUUUGUAGAAUGAACCGGCGAGUUACGAUCCCGUGCGAGGUUAAGCUGAAGAGGCGGAGCCGCAGCGAAAGCGAGUCUGAAUAGGGCGUUUAGUACGUGGUCGUAGACCCGAAACCAGGUGAUCUACCCAUGUCCAGGGUGAAGUUCAGGUAACACUGAAUGGAGGCCCGAACCCACGCACGUUGAAAAGUGCGGGGAUGAGGUGUGGGUAGCGGAGAAAUUCCAAUCGAACCUGGAGAUAGCUGGUUCUCCCCGAAAUAGCUUUAGGGCUAGCCUUAAGUGUAAGAGUCUUGGAGGUAGAGCACUGAUUGGACUAGGGGUCCUCAUCGGAUUACCGAAUUCAGUCAAACUCCGAAUGCCAAUGACUUAUCCUUAGGAGUCAGACUGCGAGUGAUAAGAUCCGUAGUCAAAAGGGAAACAGCCCAGACCGCCAGCUAAGGUCCCAAAGUGUGUAUUAAGUGGAAAAGGAUGUGGAGUUGCUUAGACAACUAGGAUGUUGGCUUAGAAGCAGCCACCAUUUAAAGAGUGCGUAAUAGCUCACUAGUCGAGUGACUCUGCGCCGAAAAUGUACCGGGGCUAAAUACACCACCGAAGCUGCGGAUUGAUACCGAAUGGUAUCAGGGGUAGGGGAGCGUUCUAAGGACAGUGAAGUCAGACCGGAAGGACUGGUGGAGUGCGUAGAAGUGAGAAUGCCGGUAUGAGUAGCGAAAGACGGGUGAGAAUCCCGUCCACCGAAUGCCUAAGGUUUCCUGAGGAAGGCUCGUCCGCUCAGGGUUAGUCAGGACCUAAGCCGAGGCCGACAGGCGUAGGCGAUGGACAACAGGUUGAUAUUCCUGUACCACCUCUUUAUCGUUUGAGCAAUGGAGGGACGCAGAAGGAUAGAAGAAGCGUGCGAUUGGUUGUGCACGUCCAAGCAGUUAGGCUGAUAAGUAGGCAAAUCCGCUUAUCGUAAAGGCUGAGCUGUGAUGGGGAAGCUCCUUAUGGAGCGAAGUCUUUGAUUCCCCGCUGCCAAGAAAAGCUUCUAGCGAGAUAAAAGGUGCCUGUACCGCAAACCGACACAGGUAGGCGAGGAGAGAAUCCUAAGGUGUGCGAGAGAACUCUGGUUAAGGACCUCGGCAAAAUGACCCCGUAACUUCGGGAGAAGGGGUGCUUUCUUAACGGAAAGCCGCAGUGAAUAGGCCCAAGCGACUGUUUAGCAAAAACACAGCUCUCUGCGAAGCCGUAAGGCGAAGUAUAGGGGGUGACACCUGCCCGGUGCUGGAAGGUUAAGGAGAGGGGUUAGCGUAAGCGAAGCUCUGAACUGAAGCCCCAGUAAACGGCGGCCGUAACUAUAACGGUCCUAAGGUAGCGAAAUUCCUUGUCGGGUAAGUUCCGACCCGCACGAAAGGUGUAACGAUUUGGGCACUGUCUCAACCAGAGACUCGGUGAAAUUAUAGUACCUGUGAAGAUGCAGGUUACCCGCGACAGGACGGAAAGACCCCGUGGAGCUUUACUGUAGCCUGAUAUUGAAUUUUGGUACAGUUUGUACAGGAUAGGCGGGAGCCUUUGAAACCGGAGCGCUAGCUUCGGUGGAGGCGCUGG